UGCACCGAUAAAUAUUUAAGCGACUGGGCGAAAGAUUUUUGUUCUGGAGAGGCACUUUUAAAUACACUCUUAAUUGAAUAGUUCAAGUAAAGAUUGUAGUUUGUGUAGUUAAUUUAAAAACGCACUUGUUUGGCUUUGGAAGCGUACUUUUAGUGCUUAAAAAUAAGUAUUUGGAUGGUUUUUGAAAGUUUCGACUUUUCCAACAGAGUAGUGCUUUUUAAAAAGAUAACUGAUUAUUGAGCCGAAUUCAGCACCUACCCUGUGGAUAGGAGUUAAAAGAAAAUUAGAAAUUUCUUUGUAUCUGUAUGCUUUUUUAAAGUAUGGAAUGUAUCUCAAGUUUUUAAUCCUCAGAAUCUGUUGCCUUUAAGUUUGUAGUUUAGCUGAAGUCUAAACUGAGAGUAAAGGUAAUGGUGGUAAAUUAGGCUGCAGUGUUAAAAGGAGUUGGAGGCAAAAACUGGUAAUUCAGGCAGACAGGGAAGUUAGUUUUUUAUGCCUUGAUUUUUGGUUUAGUUUUCAUGGUCUAACCCUUUUCAUUUUCCCCAGAUGUCAGAGGAUUUAGCAAAGCAGCUGGCAAGCUACAAAGCUCAGCUCCAGCAAGUUGAAGCUGCAUUAUCUGGAAAUGGAGAAAAUGAAGAUUUGCUAAAAUUGAAGAAAGAUUUACAAGAAGUUAUAGAACUAACCAAAGACCUUCUGUCAACUCAACCUUCUGAGACUCUUGCAAGUUCAGACAGUUUUGCUUCCACUCAACCUACUCAUUCAUGGAAAGUAGGAGACAAG
Molecule: small RNA, 777 nt
Filed under: Pongo abelii (Sumatran orangutan)
Lineage: Eukaryota; Metazoa; Chordata; Mammalia; Primates; Hominidae
Description: retained intron
Source: RNAcentral